RNAcentral lists this ribosomal RNA (200 nucleotides) under uncultured bacterium. RNAcentral describes it as "partial 16S ribosomal RNA". It matches the Rfam family "Bacterial small subunit ribosomal RNA", at positions 8 to 207 of the family's 1533-position model. The record is from RNAcentral.
AGAGUUUGAUCCUGGCUCAGAACGAACGUUAGCGGCGCGCUUAACACAUGCAAGUCGCACGAGAAAGGGCUUCGGCCCCGGUACAGUGGCGCACGGGUGAGUAACACGUGGGUAAUCUUCCCUCUGGCGGGGGAUAACCUUCCGAAAGGAGGGCUAAUACCGCAUAAGACCACGGCGUCGAAAGACGCAGAGGUUAAAGC